Molecule: transfer RNA, 76 nt
Filed under: Dehalococcoidia bacterium
Lineage: Bacteria; Bacillati; Chloroflexota; Dehalococcoidia
Description: tRNA-Pro
Rfam family: tRNA
About the family: Transfer RNA (tRNA) molecules are approximately 80 nucleotides in length. Their secondary structure includes four short double-helical elements and three loops (D, anti-codon, and T loops). Further hydrogen bonds mediate the characteristic L-shaped molecular structure. tRNAs have two regions of fundamental functional importance: the anti-codon, which is responsible for specific mRNA codon recognition, and the 3' end, to which the tRNAs corresponding amino acid is attached (by aminoacyl-tRNA synthetases). tRNAs cope with the degeneracy of the genetic code in two manners: having more than one tRNA (with a specific anti-codon) for a particular amino acid; and 'wobble' base-pairing, i.e. permitting non-standard base-pairing at the 3rd anti-codon position.
Source: RNAcentral
CGGGACGUAGUGAAGUCUGGCCAUCACGCCUGUUUCGGAUACAGGAGAUCCCCCGGUUCGAAUCCGGGCGUCCCGA